UACGUAGGGUGCGAGCGUUAAUCGGAAUUACUGGGCGUAAAGGGUGCGCAGGCGGUUAUAUAAGACAGAUGUGAAAUCCCCGGGCUCAACCUGGGAACUGCGUUUGUGACUGUAUGACUAGAGUACGGUAGAGAGGGGUGGAAUUCCUGGUGUAGCAGUGAAAUGCGUAGAUAUUCGGAAGAACACCAGUGGCGAAGGCGACACACUGGGCCAUUACUGACGCUGAGGCGCGAAAGCGUGGGGAGCAAACAGGG
RNAcentral lists this ribosomal RNA (254 nucleotides) under uncultured bacterium. RNAcentral describes it as "partial 16S ribosomal RNA". It matches the Rfam family "Bacterial small subunit ribosomal RNA", at positions 524 to 777 of the family's 1533-position model. The record is from RNAcentral.